GGCGAUACCUUCGCCGAGUGCAAAAAUGCGCAAUGGGUGAUUUCCUGGCGCAGCAGCGAGCUACACAUUUGGCGACAGUGGCAGGUUUGACUGCUCUUUUCUUGUUAGUUUCAAGAGGAAUAAUGUUAAAACUAAUGUGCCUGAUAAUAAUACUGCGUCAUGGAAAUCACCCACUGCGCAAUUUCAGAAGAAAAGGUAAAUUCUUGCAUCAAAAAGGAUGUUUGCUUUUUGCAGUGUUUACGUGGGGACCGGUGCUCCCAGGGGACUGAAGAGAAGGCUAAUUGAGAUUCUCACGUCCGAAUGUGUGAGUGGCGAUAAAAGGAAAACAAACACUCCUAGAUGGUGCAACUCAGCAAAGAUUGGUAGAGCAGCAGAGAGGAGGAGAUGGCGGCCAUGUUUCACUCAAACUCUGACAGAUAGCAAUGGGAUUUCCCAUAGGAGGGAAGAGCAGAAUUUGCUUCGACUUCGCGAAUUUUUCAUACUUGUGCCAAAAGAAUAUUCCAGCGAUCAGUAUACAUAGUAUUUUGCCAUUCUGAAUCAUCAUCAAGGACAUGAAAUAUCACUCAGAGGUAUGGAAAGGAGGGAAGAAUAAGAUCACGAGUUAAAUUAAAUAAUGCGAACGCUGGAGGCCCUGAAAGGCACUCAAUAAACAUUGUGUGAUAGUCACUUCGAAACAGACCUAACGUUGGUUCCUUUCUGUUGUGAAACGCUGACAUCAAAUAUGGGCUGUGUCUUUUGUUAUAUUUAUAAUUUCUCUGAAAAGUAAAUAUAUGAAUUCGAAAACUAAA
This is a long non-coding RNA of Armigeres subalbatus, 788 nucleotides long. RefSeq lists it as uncharacterized. The record is from RefSeq and is a predicted model, not a curated record. The transcript has 4 exons. Lineage: Eukaryota; Metazoa; Arthropoda; Insecta; Diptera; Culicidae.